CCCAAGGUAGCUCAGUUGGUUUAGAGCACAUCAAGCACCGAAAGGUGAUGGUGCGGUCAGUGGUUCGAGUCCACUCCGAGGGG
Molecule: transfer RNA, 83 nt
Filed under: Achromobacter phage vB_AxyP_19-32_Axy04
Lineage: Duplodnaviria; Heunggongvirae; Uroviricota; Caudoviricetes; Schitoviridae
Also listed under: 2 other names
Description: tRNA-Cys
Rfam family: tRNA
About the family: Transfer RNA (tRNA) molecules are approximately 80 nucleotides in length.
Source: RNAcentral